Molecule: ribosomal RNA, 433 nt
Filed under: uncultured bacterium
Lineage: Bacteria
Description: partial 16S ribosomal RNA
Rfam family: Bacterial small subunit ribosomal RNA
Source: RNAcentral
AACGAACGCUGGCGGCAGGCUUAACACAUGCAGGUCGAGCGCAUCCUUCGGGGUGAGCGGCGGACGGGUGAGUAACGCGUGGGAACGUGCCCUCUUCUACGGAAUAGCCUCGGGAAACUGAGAGUAAUGCCGUAUACGCCCGCAAGGGGAAAGAUUUAUCGGAGGAGGAUCGGCCCGCGUUGGAUUAGGUAGUUGGUGGGGUAACGGCCUACCAAGCCGACGAUCCAUAGCUGGUUUGAGAGGAUGAUCAGCCACACUGGGACUGAGACACGGCCCAGACUCCUACGGGAGGCAGCAGUGGGGAAUCUUGGACAAUGGGGGCAACCCUGAUCCAGCCAUGCCGCGUGAUCGAUGAAGGCCUUAGGGUUGUAAAGAUCUUUCAGCUGGGAAGAUAAUGACGGUACCAGCAGAAGAAGCCCCGGCUAACUCCGUG